GGGAUGACGUCAAGUCAUCAUGGCCCUUACGACCAGGGCUACACACGUGCUACAAUGGCAUAUACAAAGAGAAGCGACCUCGCGAGAGCAAGCGGACCUCAUAAAGUAUGUCGUAGUCCGGAUUGGAGUCUGCAACUCGACUCCAUGAAGUCGGAAUCGCUAGUAAUCGUAGAUCAGAAUGCUACGGUGAAUACGUUCCCGGGCCUUGUACACACCGCCCGUCACACCAUGGGAGUGGGUUGCAAAAGAAGUAGGUAGCUUAACCUUCGGGAGGGCGCUUACCACUUUGUGAUUCAUGACUGGGGUGAAGUCGUAACAAGGUAACCGUAGGGGAACCUGCGGUUGGAUCACCUCCUU
This 357-nucleotide ribosomal RNA is filed under the name Klebsiella pneumoniae. RNAcentral's name for it is "partial 16S ribosomal RNA". It matches the Rfam family "Bacterial small subunit ribosomal RNA", at positions 1176 to 1532 of the family's 1533-position model. The record is from RNAcentral. RNAcentral also lists the same sequence under 1 other name. Lineage: Bacteria; Pseudomonadati; Pseudomonadota; Gammaproteobacteria; Enterobacterales; Enterobacteriaceae.